This 468-nucleotide ribosomal RNA is filed under the name uncultured bacterium. RNAcentral describes it as "partial 16S ribosomal RNA". It matches the Rfam family "Bacterial small subunit ribosomal RNA", at positions 28 to 507 of the family's 1533-position model. The record is from RNAcentral.
GACGAACGCUGGCGGCGUGCUUAACACAUGCAAGUCGAACGGAAAGGCCCUGCUUUUGUGGGGUGCUCGAGUGGCGAACGGGUGAGUAACACGUGAGUAACCUGCCCUUGACUUUGGGAUAACUUCAGGAAACUGGGGCUAAUACCGGAUAGGAGCUCCUGCUGCAUGGUGGGGGUUGGAAAGUUUCGGCGGUUGGGGAUGGACUCGCGGCUUAUCAGCUUGUUGGUGGGGUAGUGGCUUACCAAGGCUUUGACGGGUAGCCGGCCUGAGAGGGUGACCGGCCACAUUGGGCCUGAGAUACGGCCCAGACUCCUACGGGAGGCAGCAGUGGGAAAUAUUGCACAAUGGGCGGAAGCCUGAUGCAGCACCGCCGCGUGCGGGAUGACGGCCUUCGGGUUGUAAACCGCUUCCGCCUGUGACGAAGCGUGAGUGACGGUAAUGGGUAAAGAAGCACCGGCUAACUACGUG